GGUUUGUCGCGUUGUUCGUGAAAUCUCACGGCUUAACUGUGAGCGUGCGGGCGAUACGGGCAGACUUGAGUACUGCAGGGGAGACUGGAAUUCCUGGUGUAGCGGUGGAAUGCGCAGAUAUCAGGAGGAACACCGGUGGCGAAGGCGGGUCUCUGGGCAGUAACUGACGCUGAGGAGCGAAAGCGUGGGGAGCGAACAGGAUUAGAUACCCUGGUAGUCCACGCCGUAAACGGUGGGUACUAGGUGUGGGUUUCCUUCCUUGGGAUCCGUGCCGUAGCUAACGCAUUAAGUACCCCGCCUGGGGAGUACGGCCGCAAGGCUAAAACUCAAAGAAAUUGACGGGGGCCCGCACAAGCGGCGGAGCAUGUGGAUUAAUUCGAUGCAACGCGAAGAACCUUACCUGGGUUUGACAUGCACAGGACGCCGGCAGAGAUGUCGGUUCCCUUGUGGCCUGUGUGCAGGUGGUGCAUGGCUGUCGUCAGCUCGUGUCGUGAGAUGUUGGGUUAAGUCCCGCAACGAGCGCAACCCUUGUCUCAUGUUGCCAGCGGGUAAUGCCGGGGACUCGUGAGAGACUGCCGGGGUCAACUCGGAGGAAGGUGGGGAUGACGUCAAGUCAUCAUGCCCCUUAUGUCCAGGGCUUCACACAUGCUACAAUGGCCGGUACAAAGGGCUGCGAUGCCGCGAGGUUAAGCGAAUCCUUUUAAAGCCGGUCUCAGUUCGGAUCGGGGUCUGCAACUCGACCCCGUGAAGUC
RNAcentral lists this ribosomal RNA (752 nucleotides) under uncultured bacterium. RNAcentral's name for it is "bacterial SSU rRNA". It matches the Rfam family "Bacterial small subunit ribosomal RNA", at positions 577 to 1327 of the family's 1533-position model. The record is from RNAcentral.